UACGUAGGGUGCGAGCGUUGUCCGGAAUUAUUGGGCGUAAAGAGCUUGUAGGCGGUCUGUCGCGUCUGCUGUGAAAACCUAAGGCUCAACCUUGGGCUUGCAGUGGGUACGGGCAGACUAGAGUGCGGUAGGGGUGACUGGAAUUCCUGGUGUAGCGGUGGAAUGCGCAGAUAUCAGGAGGAACACCGAUGGCGAAGGCAGGUCACUGGGCCGCAACUGACGCUGAGGAGCGAAAGCAUGGGGAGCGAACAGG
RNAcentral lists this ribosomal RNA (253 nucleotides) under uncultured bacterium. RNAcentral's name for it is "partial 16S ribosomal RNA". It matches the Rfam family "Bacterial small subunit ribosomal RNA", at positions 524 to 776 of the family's 1533-position model. The record is from RNAcentral.